Molecule: non-coding RNA, 78 nt
Filed under: unclassified sequences
Description: pemK RNA
Rfam family: pemK RNA
Source: RNAcentral
AUAAUGAUACUCCCGCAUAGUCGAGGUUAGGUCCCAGAGUGCGGCCCGGAGGCUCUCGGGGAGGUGGAAUUCCUGUGA